GGAAGUACUGCUGAAACAUUGCCCAGACGAACAUCAGACUGGCGAUUAUCGAUCCCAGCUGAGCAAAAGCAUCCCCUGCCUUCAUCCUGGUAAACCCUCUCCCACUUCCUAUGCUCUCCUCCAGUCCGUGCUUCAAACUUGCUGAAUUAAUCAUCGGUUUGUGGUGUAUUUGUUUUGUGGGUUAUCUAUUGACAAGUUGUUGAAUUUAUAAAGACAGUCGAAUACUUUUUGGUUAGACCGAAUACGUGGCUUCUGACUCCGAGGCCAAUAAUACGUGUACGGUGUUUGACAAGUAUAAAAGUACAAGUAAGCCCUAUGUCGGCUAUUGCUUUUACUUUCAUAGCCCUCAUAAGUUAGAACAAGUCGAUUUUCUCCUUUUCUCUUUACCGUAAGGACGAAGAAUCCCUCUUUUAACAUCAGGACAAAUAGAAUGGUCUUUGUUUAAUAGUAUUUGAUUUAUCUACCUAAUAUUCAAAUCAGAUUUCUUUCAUUCUUAUCUAGCUGAUUGAGGAAAUGACGCUGAAAUUUUGGUACCUAGGACAUGCGCCAGCGGCAUUAAGAAUACUUGUUUUAUUUGGGUGGGUGAGAUGUCUAAGAAUCAGACAAUUAUUUGUCUGUGGAGGACAAGCUGUCUUCUGUGAGUAGCAUGGACCCUUUUAGUCUUUUAAUAAUCGAUGAUAAAAACCUUUAUAGUAACCCUUUUUGGCCAUUGAUUGGAUUGAUCACAAUACGUUUUCCCCCUUGUCUGUAAUUAACUAUGGGCUGAUAUGGCUGCUGGUUGUUGCAAAGGAUCAACAUCACUUGCCAGCAGUUGGCCACUCCUUGGAAUGAAGUCAUGCAUUUAGGAUUGAAGGAACUUUCAUUUAAGCAACUGAAUAAAUAAGAUAUUUAAGCAACUAAUUAGUCUCUUCUUCAGGAGCUUUCUGCCUUUAAGGGUGAUUACAGGCAUAAUCAAAAGGAUAGCACAACCGAAUGUUAAGCAAACUAAAUUAGAUAAGGUGAUAAGUUUAGCUAAUGAGCAGAAGUUAGUAACCAAGAUACUAGUAGUCUCCCAAAACAUAAGCAAUAACAGAUAACUAAACAAAAUCAUAAACGAGCUCAGGUUCUUAGCAUCAGAGCUGAAAUUCAUCCGACAUCACAUUCAUCUUCUUCUUGUUCUUCGUUGUCAUUGUCAUCUUCCUCUUCCUUGACCCUGCCUCCCUCCUUUGCUGUCUCCAGAUCCUGAAUCAACCGAUUCAAGCAAGUCGCAGCAUCUUCGUCGAUGGAUUUUUGCAUCAAGCUCUCAGCUACAUCAGCAGGGCUAAUCUUGAUCUUCUCCAACAGGCUUCGAAUGACUUCAAACAGCGGGUGUGAA
Molecule: long non-coding RNA, 1354 nt
Filed under: Linum usitatissimum (flax)
Lineage: Eukaryota; Viridiplantae; Streptophyta; Magnoliopsida; Malpighiales; Linaceae
Description: long non-coding RNA (LUSI_LNC002499)
Source: RNAcentral